AGUUCUUUAGUAUAAAUAAGUACCUCUGGUUUACACUCAGAAAGAUCAAUAAUUUGGAAGAACUU
RNAcentral lists this transfer RNA (65 nucleotides) under Neotrypaea harmandi. RNAcentral's name for it is "tRNA-Val". RNAcentral also lists the same sequence under 1 other name. Lineage: Eukaryota; Metazoa; Arthropoda; Malacostraca; Decapoda; Callianassidae. The record is from RNAcentral.